GACGAAGGAUGCAAGCGUUAUCCGGAUUCAUUGGGUUUAAAGGGCGCGUAGGUGGCCUUAUAAGUCAGUGGUGAAAUCUCUCGGCUUAACUGAGAAAUUGCCAUUGAUACUGUAGGGCUUGAGUACAGUUGCUGUGGGCGGAAUAUGACAUGUAGUGGUGAAAUACAUAGAGAUGUCAUAGAACACCGAUUGCGAAGGCAGCUCACAAAACUGUAACUGACACUGAGGCUCGAAAGUGCGGGGAUCAAACAGG
RNAcentral lists this ribosomal RNA (253 nucleotides) under uncultured bacterium. RNAcentral describes it as "partial 16S ribosomal RNA". It matches the Rfam family "Bacterial small subunit ribosomal RNA", at positions 524 to 776 of the family's 1533-position model. The record is from RNAcentral.